Long non-coding RNA from Ornithodoros turicata, 216 nucleotides. RefSeq lists it as uncharacterized. The transcript has 3 exons. The record is from RefSeq and is a predicted model, not a curated record. NCBI's taxonomy places the organism in Eukaryota, Metazoa, Arthropoda, Arachnida, Ixodida, Argasidae.
CGGACUACCAACCGAUUACAAUGUAACAGUAAAUGACACGGAGAUGACUAUUAAAAAUAAUGGCGAGACAGUACGGACGUACACGCUGCUGUUCUCAGACGGUUAUGCGUGCAACAUUUUCAAAAACCGUGAAGACGACAAAUGCGAAGUGUGGGCGCCGCCAGAGCGGGCAAGCGUUGUGAAUGGGCCCGACUGUACAGGUCGAUUUAAAGAAAA